Molecule: ribosomal RNA, 491 nt
Filed under: uncultured Denitratisoma sp.
Lineage: Bacteria; Pseudomonadati; Pseudomonadota; Betaproteobacteria; Nitrosomonadales; Sterolibacteriaceae
Description: bacterial SSU rRNA
Rfam family: Bacterial small subunit ribosomal RNA
Source: RNAcentral
AGAGUUUGAUCAUGGCUCAGAUUGAACGCUGGCGGAAUGCUUUACACAUGCAAGUCGAGCGGCAGCGCGGGGGCAACCCUGGCGGCGAGCGGCGAACGGGUGAGUAAUACAUCGGAACGUGUCCUUAAGUGGGGGAUAGCUCGGCGAAAGCCGGAUUAAUACCGCAUAAGCUCUGAGGAGGAAAGCGGGGGAUUCCGCGAGGGACCUCGCGCUGUUGGAGCGGCCGACGUCGGAUUAGCUAGUUGGUGGGGUAAAGGCCCACCAAGGCGACGAUCCGUAGCUGGUCUGAGAGGAUGAUCAGCCACACUGGAACUGAGACACGGUCCAGACUCCUACGGGAGGCAGCAGUGGGGAAUUUUGGACAAUGGGGGCAACCCUGAUCCAGCCAUUCCGCGUGAGUGAAGAAGGCCUUCGGGUUGUAAAGCUCUUUCGGACGGAACGAAACGGUUAGCGUGAAUAACGCUGACUAAUGACGGUACCGUAAGAAGAAG